AUACGGAGGAUCCAAGCGUUAUUCGGAUUUAUUGGGUUUAAAGGGUGCGCAGGCGGCCUUAUAAGUCAGUGGUGUAAUCUCCCGGCUCAACCGGGAAACUGCCAUUGAUACUGUAAGGCUAGAAUACAGACGAGGUAGGCGGAAUGUAGCAUGUAGCGGUGAAAUGCUUAGAUAUGCUAAAGAACACCGAUCGCGAAGGCAGCUUACCAGACUGUAAUUGACGCUAAGGCACGAAAGCGUGGGGAGCGAACAGGAUUAGAAACCCCGGUAGUCC
RNAcentral lists this ribosomal RNA (274 nucleotides) under uncultured bacterium. RNAcentral describes it as "partial 16S ribosomal RNA". It matches the Rfam family "Bacterial small subunit ribosomal RNA", at positions 523 to 796 of the family's 1533-position model. The record is from RNAcentral.